GCUGGCCUAGUGGUUAGAGCAUCCGCCUUGGAUGCAGGUGGUCAUUGGUUAGAUCCCCAGUUAAGUCAUACCA
Molecule: non-coding RNA, 73 nt
Organism: Potamilus streckersoni
Lineage: Eukaryota; Metazoa; Mollusca; Bivalvia; Unionida; Unionidae
Source: the annotation of a GenBank genome assembly